UGCAGAUGAUGUUGAUCUCACGAUGGUCUUCCAAGCCCUUUGGGCUCUGACGACAUUGCCUUAUGGCAUCACUGAUGCAGCUCG
Brienomyrus brachyistius is the source of this 84-nucleotide small nucleolar RNA. RefSeq annotates it as small nucleolar RNA SNORD35. The transcript has a single exon. The record is from RefSeq and is a predicted model, not a curated record. NCBI's taxonomy places the organism in Eukaryota, Metazoa, Chordata, Actinopteri, Osteoglossiformes, Mormyridae.